GACGAACGCUGGUGGCGUGCCUAAUACAUGCAAGUCGAGCGGAAAUUUUAUUGGUGCUUGCACCUUUAAAAUUUUAGCGGCGGACGGGUGAGUAACACGUGGGUAACCUACCUUAUAGAUUGGGAUAACUCCGGGAAACCGGGGCUAAUACCGAAUAAUACUUUUUAACACAUGUUUGAAAGUUGAAAGACGGUCUUGCUGUCACUAUAAGAUGGACCCGCGGCGCAUUAGCUAGUUGGUGAGGUAACGGCUCACCAAGGCAACGAUGCGUAGCCGACCUGAGAGGGUGAUCGGCCACACUGGGACUGAGACACGGCCCAGACUCCUACGGGAGGCAGCAGUAGGGAAUCUUCCACAAUGGACGAAAGUCUGAUGGAGCAACGCCGCGUGAGUGAAGAAGGAUUUCGGUUCGUAAAACUCUGUUGCAAGGGAAGAACAAGUAGCGUAGUAACUGGCGCUA
RNAcentral lists this ribosomal RNA (460 nucleotides) under Solibacillus isronensis. RNAcentral's name for it is "bacterial SSU rRNA". It matches the Rfam family "Bacterial small subunit ribosomal RNA", at positions 28 to 477 of the family's 1533-position model. The record is from RNAcentral. Lineage: Bacteria; Bacillati; Bacillota; Bacilli; Caryophanales; Caryophanaceae.